This 4240-nucleotide long non-coding RNA is filed under the name Salmo salar (Atlantic salmon). Its description in RNAcentral is "lncRNA (ENSSSAG00000053610.2)". The record is from RNAcentral. Lineage: Eukaryota; Metazoa; Chordata; Actinopteri; Salmoniformes; Salmonidae.
GUGACCUUCUUUCCCGGGUUUUCCCAUCUGGUUUGAGUAGUCAUAUCCCAAAAUGUUGAAAUUGGACACUAUUUAAGAGUACAUUCUUAACCUUUAUAACCCUCCUUUACAAUUGUUUCUAAUUCGAAAUGUAGAACCAGUCAGACCACACCCGAUUGUUUUAGUCUUAAAUAGAUAUCGCAUGUAAUUUCAACACUUCCAGGAAUCCGAAGCAUCGCUAUUUAAAAGGGAUAGGCACGGAGGGAUGUAGUGGCACAUUGGAUGUAGGAAAAGCGGGCGUAUCUUUUCCCGGCUGCAGAAGGUAGAGGUUAAAAAGCUGUGGGAACGGGUCAGAGGAAAGAGGGGGGCGGGAGGAAUGGGAAAGGGUACAGUAGAAAGGCAGGCAGGGUGUUUUCUUAACGUAAAGGAAGAGUUAAAUCAGAAGUUAAUAGCUUAUUGUGAGUUAUUAAAACGAUAGCCUACACCGCCGAGAUCUGGGAAACCGAAAGUUAUCUAAUUAUAUAAGACAUAAACAAGAGAAGGAGACCUCGAUGUCGGGAAUAGGACACGGUCUGGAAUAGGUAAGUCAAAGUAUCCGCUUGCCACCAGCUCCCCUCAAUAUUCAAAUUGUAAACAACAAAUCUUUAAUGGUGUGUGUGGCAUACAUGUGCGUUAUAUCAAAGAAGAAGAGAUACUUUGUAUUCAACGUGUCGUACGCGCGUUCCUGGCAGCACGUUCAUGGCAAGAAAUCUGAGCGCACUCGUUCUACAGUCAGACAGAGGUGAAGGAUGGAGGGAGAUACAGAGAAAGAGACAGCAGAGGAGAAGGAAGGUGAUGAUACAGAGCUGUCUGGUGAGGAAGGGGUGGGGCGACUUCAUCAGAGCGGAAGGUCCUCGGAUGAAGACCAGGACCUACCCAUCAUGCAGUGGGAGGACCUGAGCCUGCGUAUCGCCGAGCUAGAGAAACAGGAGGAGGAGAGGAGGGAGAGGGCAAAGAGUACGAGUGGGUCGGAACAGGGGAGUGUGUCAGGGGGCUGGGCGGAGGAGAGGCAGGGUGGGCGGAGGAGGAGAGAGGAAUGGGAGGAGGAGGACUAUGGAAGGUGUCGAGUUACUGUUUUCUCAUCUAGAUUCCACAACCACAGAAAUCUACAAUUAUGCUACACCAACAACAGUGAGAGCGAGGAUGAUGAUAAGGAGGAGGGGGCUGGCAAAGAGGGUUCUAAAGAGGCAGGUAGCCAUGGUUACCAUCCCUCUGGCCUGAAGCUGGAGGUGAGGGCUGCACUGAGUGCGCUUAAAAACAAGCUGCUCGCUGAACAGAAAGAGAAGGAGCACCUCGCCUGUGUGAUCACUAAGAGGAAGCAUCUGGAAUGCUGUGACCUGCAGAUCUGCUCAAUACAACAGCUCAGCUCCCUCAGGACCUCACUCAACCACGACAUACACGACCUGAGCUCUGAGUUGGUGGGUCACCUGUUGAUAAGGGACCAGCUGAGGACCAAACAGGAUGCCAUGCUCCUGGAUGUACAGGAUCUGACAUAAUGUUGACCCACAGGUGCACAGGAUGUGACAUCACCACUGCCAUGGACAGGGUACCAGGACAGGAAGUCAUUGUGACCAAUAGUGGAUAAAGGGAUUUUGGCCCAGAUAUGCCACUAUGAGACUGUCAGAAGUAUUUCCGUAGCAGCCUACUCAACAUGAUUUUUCGUAAAGGAGAAAUGUUGAUUAUGAGCAACUGAUGAGCAGCAUCUUGGACCGGCGUCAUAAUACAAUUCAUAUUUCACAGACAGGGUAUGGAUAACUUUCUCUUCAUCAUCCCCACCUGAUCUUGACCAGCAUAAUCUUCAUCAUCAUUAGUGGACAGAGUACUGUAUUAGGACCUUUUUUGACUUACGCAUGCACUUAAACAAAAAUAUUUAAUAUCAGAAAGAGGGUUUUAAGCCAUUUGUGAUGUUGUUUGAAACAUCUCUAGUAAUAUCUGACUCCUAGUGUUUUGCCUGUGGUAAGAAAGUCCUAUUUAUCUUGGGGGUGUCAGAUGGAGAACCUUCACAGCCAUAGUGUAACGCAACAUUCAAUGAGUUAUAUCAUUUACAUAUAUGAGGGAUACCGCUUUUGCAUAAGUUUUAUUGUGUAAACAUUGCAAUAUCCUUGACUUACUGAUUUAAGGGAAUUGUCCACUUAUAACCUGUAUAAAACAAGCUAAGGAGCUGCAUAUUCAGGCUAAAGGGAACAGUCCUGUAACAAUUUGGUAGAGAAGUUUCUUUGUUGGUAAUUAACCUCUAUUAUGUAUAAUAUGAGCCUCAUGUAGUUGUUGAUGUAAGGGAAUUGUCCGCAUAGUGCCAAUAAGCCUGUGGGUAUUGCCAUUAUGUAUUUUAUGAUAUACCUGGUUUCCAGCCAUAACUAUAACUACCACCAGCAUAGGAAACUACAAAGCUGCAAUUGGUCGAUUGACUCCAUGCCAGCAUAGUCCGAAAAUAUUUUGUGUUUCUCAGAUUGUUCUGGUAAUUCUCACAUAGAAACUUCAUUGGGAUGAAGGAUGUUUGAUGUGCUUUUUACAUUUGUAACACAAAUCAGGUUUUUUUUUUUAUCAUGAUGGAAGUGGCAAUUUUAGGCCCUUUUUAAUCCUAUGCAUGACAACACCUUGGUGUCAUUAUACCCCUAAUAGCUCUAAAAUAUGGACUAUCAUUGCAUUCUGAAAUACAAUUUUACACAUUAAUUUAUUCAAGAUUAAAACUAUUAAUAUUAUCUCAAAAGUACCCUUUUUGAUUUUGUUAAGUUUUAGACAUAUUGUUUUAAACAAUAUACUUUACUAGUACAUCAAAUUUCCAGAGUGGGCUCUCUGUUACUUUUAAAGUUAUGAUUCAAAGGGAACUCCUUCUGCUGGUGAUUUUCUGAAUGUGCAAUCCUACAGUAGGGCUGUGAUUGGUUAAUUACCUAUAACGUCCAUUUCUUUGUAUACUGAACAAUAAUAUAAAUGCAACAUGUAAAUGGUUGGUCCCAUGUUUCAUGAACUGAAAUAAAAGAUCCCAGAAAUGUUCCAUACUCACAAAAAGCUUAAUUAUCUAAAAUUCUGUGCACAAAUUUAUUGACAACCCUGUUAGUGAGAGUUUAUCCUUUGCCAAUAUAAUCCAUCCACCUGACAGGUGUGGCAUAUCAAGAAGCUGAUUAAACAGCAUGAACAUUACACAGGUGAACCUUGUGCUGGGAACAAUAAAAGGCCACCCUAAAAUGUGCAGUUUUGUCACACAAUGCCACAGAUGUCUCAACUUUUGAGGGAUUGCAGGAAUGUCCACUAGAGUUGUUGCCAGGGAAUUGAAUAUUAAUUUCUCUAGGACCUCCACAUCUAGCUUCUUUACCUGCGGGAUUGUCUGAGGGUGGGAUUGCUGAGGAGUAUUUCUGUCUGUAAUAAAGCCCUUUUGUGGGGGAAAAUGUAUUCUGAUUGGCUGGGCCUGGCUCCCAAGUGGGUGGGCCUAUGCCCUCCCAUGUGAAAUCCAUAGAUUAGGGCCUAGUACAUGUAUUUAAAUUGACUGAUUUCCUUAUAUGAACAGUAACUCAGUAAAAUAAUUGAAAUUGUUGCAUAUUGUGUUUAUAUUUUUGUUCAGUAUAUAACAUAAUUUCUUCAAAGUGGUAGAGAGCCCACUCUGGGAAUGUGAUGCUUGAAAUAUAUAUGUUUCCAAAUCGUGUUUCUAAAAUUAAGCAAAACCAAAAAGUGUACUUUUGAGAUAUUAAAAAUAAAUAUAAUAUCUUACCUGGUUUUCUGGUGAUAUGAAAGAUUGUCAUUUGUCACUUUAAAAUAUACCAGCCUGUUUCUUCCGUCUUGCCGUUGUCCUGCUAUCACAGUUCAUUGUUUCAUCAUACUACAAAUACACACGAUUAUUGGAAGUACCACAUAUAAUAAUUGCUAGUUAAGACACGAGGUAAUAAGGCCAGGAGAUUUUCCUGACCAUGUGACCUGACCAGGGACAAACACCAGGCUCAAGUUACUGGACCAGAGUCUUUCCUCUUCAAGUCACAUGAUCAGGAAAAACUCCUGGCCUUAUUACCUGUUGUGUCUUAACUAGCAAUUAUUAUAUGUGGUACUUCCAAUAAUCGUGUGUAUUUGUAGUAUGAUGAAACAAUGAACUUUUAGCAGAUUCAAGGCCAUGGGAAAGGGGUGAAUGCUAUGAAGUAACAUUGAACUUUAUAAUCUCUGAAGUAUUAUUCAGUAUUAACUUUUUUUAAAUGUAUCAUUUUGCAUUCAAUAAACCUUGUAAGGUUAUUUAAUGUUG